Molecule: unclassified non-coding RNA, 298 nt
Filed under: plant metagenome
Description: partial contains 5.8S ribosomal RNA, internal transcribed spacer 2, and large subunit ribosomal RNA
Rfam family: 5.8S ribosomal RNA (bases 1-105)
Source: RNAcentral
GAAAUGCGAUAAGUAAUGUGAAUUGCAGAAUUCAGUGAAUCAUCGAAUCUUUGAACGCACAUUGCGCCCCCUGGUAUUCCAGGGGGCAUGCCUGUUCGAGCGUCAUUUCACCACUCAAGCCUCGCUUGGUAUUGGGCAACGCGGUCCGCCGCGUGCCUCAAAUCGACCGGCUGGGUCUUCUGUCCCCUAAGCGUUGUGGAAACUAUUCGCUAAAGGGUGUUCGGGAGGCUACGCCGUAAAACAACCCCAUUUCUAAGGUUGACCUCGGAUCAGGUAGGGAUACCCGCUGAACUUAAGC